Molecule: long non-coding RNA, 861 nt
Filed under: Homo sapiens (human)
Lineage: Eukaryota; Metazoa; Chordata; Mammalia; Primates; Hominidae
Description: HSALNT0240052
Source: RNAcentral
AUUCUUCUAGAGGCUUCAGUCUGCUCCAUAGGAUCGGUGGUAGAGACUGCAGGGGCAUUUUUGUAAAAGUUUAUUUGGAAACAUUUCACUUACAGAAAAGUUAUAAAAUUAAAAACAGUACAAAGAACACCCCUAUAUAUAAUAUCUGUACUCAGAUUUACCUGUUACAUUUUCUCCCCGUUGCUAUAUCACUUAUGAGUGUGCCUGCCCUCCCAUAUGUGUAUACAUUUUUCCUCUUUCUGAACUACUUAAGGGUGUUACAUAUAUCAUGGCCUUUACCCCCAAAUAUUUCAGUGUGCAUUUGCUGAGAAUAGGGAUACUUUUACAUAACCAUCAUAAAAUGAUCCACUUUUGUAAAUUUAACAUUGAUUAAAAACUUUUAUCUGAUAUCUACCAUCUGUAGAACAUUGCUCAUUUUGAGUUUGUCUGAUGUCUCCCCAUGAUGAGAUGCAGGUGAGGCACUCUGGCCAGAACCUUCACAGGGCACCACAUCUGGGGGCACAUGCUGUUUAUCUGCUCCUCCUCGUGUUAAUUUCAUCCGCUGGUCAAGAUGUUGCUCCAUUUCUCUACCGUAUAAUUACUGAUUUUCCCCCCUUGCACCUAAUAAGUAGUCUGCAGGAAGACAUUUUAAGGCCAUGCAAGUAUCUUGCUUUCAUCAAAAUUUCCCUCUGGUGCAGUCUUUACGAUGAGCUUGCAAAAUGAUAACUUUCCAACUCCAGCACACCCUCCACAAUUACCAGUCACCACUCAGUCCUCACUCCUGCCGAUUCUUUUAUAUAUACAUUAUUGGUACAGACUCAUGAAGUUCUAUUUUUUACUGAUUUAUAAUUCAUUGCUGGGCUGCUUUUGAUGCCCCAAUUG